GACGAACGCUGGCGGCGUGCUUAACACAUGCAAGUCGAACGGUAAGGCUCCAGCUUGCUGGGGUACACGAGUGGCGAACGGGUGAGUAACACGUGGGUGACCUGCCCUGCACUUCGGGAUAAGCCUGGGAAACUGGGUCUAAUACCGGAUAGGACCAUGGUGUGGAUGCUGUGGUGGAAAGUUUUUUCGGUGUGGGAUGGGCCCGCGGCCUAUCAGCUUGUUGGUGGGGUAAUGGCCUACCAAGGCGGCGACGGGUAGCCGGCCUGAGAGGGUGGACGGCCACAUUGGGACUGAGACACGGCCCAG
This 306-nucleotide ribosomal RNA is filed under the name uncultured bacterium. RNAcentral's name for it is "bacterial SSU rRNA". It matches the Rfam family "Bacterial small subunit ribosomal RNA", at positions 28 to 334 of the family's 1533-position model. The record is from RNAcentral.